GAUGAACGCUGGCGGCAUGCCUAAUACAUGCAAGUCGAGCGAAAACACCGGCAGCUUUCUCUUUUGCCGUUAGCGACGGACGGGUGCGUAACGCGUGCAUCACCUACCUCUUAUUCUGGGGUAACUUCGGGAAACCGGAGCUGAUACCGGCUAAUAUAUUCUACCGCAACGUUCAAUAGUGUAUGACGGUUUUCCUGUCUCUUUUAGCUGGCUUCGCGCUGCUUUAGCUAUUUGGUAAGGUAACGGCCUACCAAGGCUACGAUGCGUAGCGGACCUGAGAGGGUGAUCGGCCACAGUGGAACUGAGACACGGGCCAGACUCCUACGGGAGGCAGCAGUAGGGAAUCUUCCGCAAUGGGCGAAAGCCUGACGGAGCAAGGCCGCGUGAGUGAUGAAGGUCUUCGGAUUGUAAAACUCUGUUAUUAGGAAAGAACAAAAGUGUAAGUAUCUAGGCACGGCUUGACGGUACCUAAACAGAAAGCCACGGCUAACUACGUG
RNAcentral lists this ribosomal RNA (497 nucleotides) under uncultured bacterium. RNAcentral's name for it is "partial 16S ribosomal RNA". It matches the Rfam family "Bacterial small subunit ribosomal RNA", at positions 28 to 507 of the family's 1533-position model. The record is from RNAcentral.